Molecule: non-coding RNA, 786 nt
Filed under: Aedes japonicus
Lineage: Eukaryota; Metazoa; Arthropoda; Insecta; Diptera; Culicidae
Source: RNAcentral
UUAUUUUAUUUUGGUUAAUAUUUUUAUUAUUAUUUUAUUUUACAUGUAAAUGUUUGUGGGAAUUUAUUUAAUUUUUAAAAAAUUAAAUAUUAAUAUUUAUUCGCAGUAAUUAAUAUUAAUUAAAAAAGAAAUUUUGUAUUAGUAAUAAUAUAUUGUAUUGGUAAAAUUUGUGCCAGCUACCGCGGUUAUACAAAUAAUGCAAAUAAAAAUUUUUAGUAUUAGUUAAAUUAUAAAUUUAAUAAUAUAAAUAUAAAUUUAUUAGGUGAAAUUUUUAAAUUUAUUUAUUUAUUAUCAAUAAAAUUAAUUUAAGCUAUAAACUUUUUGUAAUAAACUAGGAUUAGAUACCCUAUUAUUGAAAAUAAAUAUUUAAAUACUAAAGUAGUAGUAGUUAUAUUCUUAAAAUUUAAAAAAUUUGGCGGUGUUUUAGUCUAUUUAGAGGAAUCUGUCCUGUAAUUGAUAAUCCACAUUGAACCUUACUUAAAUUUGUUUAAUUUGUAUAUCGCCGUCAUCAGAAUAUGUUAUAAGAUAAAAAUUUUCUUAAUAUUUAAUUAAAUAAAAUGUCAGGUCAAGGUGCAGUUUAUAUUUAAGUAGAGAUGGAUUACAAUAAAUUUAUUUAAACGGAUAAUUUUUUGAAAUAAAAAUUUAAAGGUGGAUUUAAUAGUAAUAUAAAAUAGAUUAUUUGUAUGAUUUUAGCUCUAAAACAUGUACAUAUCGCCCAUCGUUCUUAUUUUUAAAAUAAGAUAAGUUGUAACAUAGUAGAUGUACUGGAAAGUGUAUCUAGAAAGA